This 2038-nucleotide long non-coding RNA is filed under the name Pan troglodytes (chimpanzee). Its description in RNAcentral is "long non-coding RNA NONPTRT008840". The record is from RNAcentral. Lineage: Eukaryota; Metazoa; Chordata; Mammalia; Primates; Hominidae.
UCCAACCUGAGGUGACACUGAUGAACAAAGGAAUAGAGAUGGUAAAGCAGAGUUAAUCUACUAACAGAUUAUCCCAAAUGUGUGCAAAUUAGUGUAUGGUUUAGGCUAAGCAUUUAAAAAUGCUUCUGUGACCCAAAUCAUGCCAAAUGCCAAAUGUUUACUCUCCUUUAAUCUCUUAAAGUUGCCAAUUUUUAUUUGUACUUUGAAUUCUGUUUUAUGGUGCAAGCAUAGUCUCUUUUUUGUACAAAUAUUUAUGAUCAAUUUUAUCCUUCAUGAUUUUGUUUCUCAAUAUUUUUAUUCCUCUAUUAGUUAUCUAAAGUUUUUCAAAGGCACUCUUUAACUUCUAUGCCUCUAAUUGCCAAAGUCAAAAAGGAAAUUUUAUUAUUUGAGUGUUGCUUUUUGAAACUGGGAGGCUGAGACAGGUGGAUCAUGAGGUCAAAAGCUCGAGACCAUCCUGGCUAACAUGGUGAAACCCCAUCUUUACCAAAAAUACAAAAAAUUAGCUGGGCGUGGUGGUGGGCGCCUGUAGUCCUAGCUACUCAGGAGGCUGAGGCAGGAGAGUAGCAUAAACCCAGGAGGUAGAGCUUGCAGUGAGCCGAGAUCGUGCCACUGCACUCUAGCCUGGGUGACAGAGCGAGACUCCGUCUCAAAAAAAAAAAAAAAAAAUUCAAAAUUGUUUACAAUCUACAUUUAGUUAUAGGUCCCUUAUUGAAUGAUUCCAAUCUGCAUGAAAUAUAUCUUUCUUCACAUCAGGAAAAAUGAAUCCAUUAUCUCCUUAAUAGAACAGAAAUAUUAGUGCAUAGGAAUGCUCUUCCCACUGUCACGUCUCCAUUUCUGUAUGUAUCUUACUCUUUCACAGCUGCCCCAUUUGCUUGUCAUUUUCCUCCACAUUUUCAAGCUCGUGGUCCAUAUCACUAAUUUGGCUUUAAGCUGUAUUAUUUAGGCAUCAUGCUGCCUCUGAAGUGGGGUUUAAAUCUGCAGUUGUGUGUUUAGUUUCCUAAUAAUUCUUCCUUAUCUCACUUCAAAGUUUAUCUUUUUAUCUUGUAAUCACAGUCUAUUUCUUCGAUGUGGUUCUCAUUGCAUAGAACCAGGCACUUUUCCUGGAAGAGUCCACAGUCCUUGCUCCUCCAUGGAACUUUAAGACAUUUGUACUAACUGCUCAGCAAGGCCACCAGCUGCUGUAACAAUUCCUGACGCCCUAGACACAGACUCUACCUGAAAACAGGAGCCUGAUUUAAAUGGAACUUGGAAGUCUUUAGCACUACUUAUUUCCUAGUUUGCUUUGAAUGUACCAAGACCUAAUCAAUAGAUCAUUCAUUAACAAAUGUUUAUUGAACACCUGCUAUGUGCUUGGUAUUGAAGAUAGUGAGCAAAAAAGCCUGAUCUCUCCCUCAAGAAGCUUUCAUCUUUAUUCAUUAUUCAAUACUCACAAAAAUAAAUACACCUCCCAAGACCUACUCUCUCACAUCCUCUCUGCCAAUUCAUUUCAUCAGCUAUUGCUGCAGCAACCAACUGCACACAGGUGGGAUGACAGCACCUUGCCUCAGCUAUUAAUAUAUCAAGCACCACUUGUCUUCUGCUCCAGCGUUUCUCUGGAGCAGUUACAGUGAAAGAACAGGAAUCCAUUCACCCAUUCUGAUGCAUAUGUCAACCUGAAGAAUGUGGAAGUUAGUACCCUACUUCACCGAUAGGGUACAGGAGCCAAUGUAAAUGCUCCUUUCUUUUGUCCCACAGGUGGACAUUUUUGAGGUUCAUUCUACAUGGCUCUUUGGAGAGUCCUUAGCAGGACAAGCCUACUGCAGUGACCAACUCAUUAACACACUUUCGAUUGACUUUCCCUCCUGUCAUGUCUCAGUCUUUCCAGUCUCCACCUCCUGUUCCCUGGGAUCACUCCCCCAAACUAUCUAAGCUCUGCUUCUGGGGAACCACAGUCUAAAAUUUAGUUACAAAUAGCAAGUGUUUUUAAGGAAAAUUAUGAGGUGUUAAGAUAGCUUCUGCAAUGGACUUGAUCUUGUCUGGGGUAUCAGUGAAGGAUUCU